AUUGAACGCUGGCGGAAUGCUUUACACAUGCAAGUCGAACGGCAGCACGGACUUUGGUCUGGUGGCGAGUGGCGAACGGGUGAGUAAUGUAUCGGAACGUGCCCAGUCGUGGGGGAUAACGUAGUGAAAAUUACGCUAAUACCGCAUACGAUCUAUGGAUGAAAGCGGGGGAUCGCAAGACCUCGCGCGAUUGGAGCGGCCGAUAUCAGACUAGGUAGUUGGUGGGGUAAAGGCCCACCAAGCCAACGAUCUGUAGCUGGUCUGAGAGGACGACCAGCCACACUGGAACUGAGACACGGUCCAGACUCCUACGGGAGGCAGCAGUGGGGAAUUUUGGACAAUGGGCGAAAGCCUGAUCCAGCCAUUCCGCGUGCAGGAUGAAGGCCCUCGGGUUGUAAACUGCUUUUGUACAGAACGAAAAGGUUUCUACUAAUACUAGGAGCUCAUGACGGUACUGUAUGAAUAAGCACCGGCUAACUACGUGCCAGCAGCCGCCGUAA
Molecule: ribosomal RNA, 500 nt
Filed under: uncultured bacterium
Lineage: Bacteria
Description: partial 16S ribosomal RNA
Rfam family: Bacterial small subunit ribosomal RNA
Source: RNAcentral